Molecule: long non-coding RNA, 273 nt
Filed under: Lathyrus oleraceus (garden pea)
Lineage: Eukaryota; Viridiplantae; Streptophyta; Magnoliopsida; Fabales; Fabaceae
Description: Pisum sativum (pea) long non-coding RNA (PSAT_LNC007357)
Source: RNAcentral
UUAAGAAAACCAUGUUAGAUGCUCAAAAUGAUAAGAUUUAGAAUGAGAAACUUCUUGGUUUGGUUGUGAAAAUUGUCACAUUUGGCAAAUAUAGGUUAAUACUCUAAAGGCCAAAUUGAGCAAGGCUUUAGAACCAAAAGUUACUUUCGCUGUUGAUCCAACAAAAUUCAAAAGACCUUUAUAUGAACCAUACAUAAAGUAUAAUUUUUUUAUAAAAUAAUCUAAUAGAGAAAUUCAUUCUCAUCGUCACUUGACUUGUCAUUGUUGUUGUAA